UAGCUAUGCUAAACAAAAAGAAGGAAUUAAUAUCAGUCCAAGAGAGGGUAAUCCGCAACCCUUAAAACGCUCAAGUAUCUCCAAGGAAAGGGAUAGUCCACUCUCUGCCUCAAAGAACUAAGCACUGAUAUUGUGAUUGAGAAAAUAUCAGUUUAGAGGAAGGUAAUCCGCAACCCCUAAAGCGCUAGAAUACCUUCAAGAAGAGGCGUAAUCCGCUCUCAAACAAGAAGGAUUCAGCUCUGAUAUUAAGAUAAAGGCAGUCUC
RNAcentral lists this long non-coding RNA (264 nucleotides) under Physcomitrium patens. RNAcentral's name for it is "long non-coding RNA (PPAT_LNC004892)". Lineage: Eukaryota; Viridiplantae; Streptophyta; Bryopsida; Funariales; Funariaceae. The record is from RNAcentral.